GUUGAAGAGAAAUAGGGGGCGAGAGACCGAAGAGAGAGAAUUUACUUCAGGAGGAAACUCUCCUCUGGGGGCCACUGCGAAACGAAAUCUGACAUUGGAAUUGUACGGAGAAAACAGAUGAGCAGUAUACAAAAAAGCAGAAUGGCUUGGAGCGGAUGCCUAGAAGAAAGGCUUGCAGUGAUCUUAAACUUUCCUCAAUCCAUUGGGAGUUGCUGCGAUGAAAGAGAUGCAACUGAAAAACUAAAUUGGAGAAGGAAGAAAAAGGGGAUAAAUAUUUUAGUAUAUACAAAAAUAAAUAUUUAUAAAAUCAUGUUUGAAUGUUAG
Molecule: long non-coding RNA, 324 nt
Organism: Esox lucius (northern pike)
Lineage: Eukaryota; Metazoa; Chordata; Actinopteri; Esociformes; Esocidae
Source: Ensembl